Helianthus annuus (common sunflower) is the source of this 2736-nucleotide RNA transcript. It is a transcript of the gene named chromatin remodeling protein SHL, with no coding region annotated. The transcript is spliced from 6 exons. NCBI's taxonomy places the organism in Eukaryota, Viridiplantae, Streptophyta, Magnoliopsida, Asterales, Asteraceae. The record is from RefSeq and is a predicted model, not a curated record.
UCCUUUAUACUCUUCAUUAUACCAAACCUAAAAAAAUAUCCUCUGCCUCUCUCUCUCUCUCUCUCAAUACGAUGGACGACAUCAUCUUCUUGAAGAUCUGAUCAUCUGCCUCUCUCUCUCUCUCUCUCUCUCUCUCUCUCAACACCAUCGCCGACAACCUUCAUCAGUCAUUCAACUGGAGCGACAGUCGACGGAUUAUAAGGCUUUCCACUCUACGGUAUCUUAUGCUCGUAUACUAUGCCCUUGCUUCAUCUGAAUCUUCUUUGCUUUUAAGUUUGAUUCCUCCUGAAUUGACAAAAAAGUUUGAUUUAGGGAUUCAGAUAUACUAUGAUUGUUGUAAUCGUUGGGUACAUACAGAAUGCAAUGAAUCUUCCGGCCUCUUACCCGUCGGGUAUUGGGGUAUACAUGUGGGGAUUUUCAUGCCAAGGACAAAACAACUGAAGAAAGUAGGAUUAGUGUUUGCAUCUUUGAUGAUAUGACAGAGCAGUGUUGUGAAGCUGCUCUAAGGUAUACUAUUUGAGUAGAAUAUUGGACGUUGUAAUAAGAUGUGCAUAUGGUUAUCACUGCAAUUUACUAGAACUGUUAUUUAAAUGUUCUAGACUGCUUCCAUGAGUAUUACAUCAGUUCUCUAUAUGAGAAAGUAUGAGGUUUCCGUUGCUAUUGUUGGUGUUGUAGAUAGCCAGAUAGUGUCACAAAGUUAUGGGAAGCAAGAAAUCUUAAAGCUCCAAUUAUUCAAGCAUGUUCCGAAUAUAAGCUGUCAUGUAAGUGAGUACGUCUUCAGUUUGAAACUUUGCUGAAACUAUUUAUUGGUGCGCAUCACCUAUGAUGUUGGUAAUGUUGUUUUAGGCCUUUGAUUGUAGUGUGUUCUUAAUCAGAUACAAUAGUUUAUUAACUUGCAUUAUGCGAAUACAUCUUUGAAACAAAGCAUCUAAAUCUUUGAAAUAGAGCAUGCUUAGUUUUGUGUCAAAGGUUAGGUUGGGUUGCAUUGAGUUGGGAUUUGCAUGGUUUUUUAUAGAUAAAUUAUUUUCGAAAAUUACUAAAUACGUUUGCUCCUUCCUAAUUUGUUUUUGUUUUUGGCUUUGUAAACUUAAUGACUUCUACGUGUGUUAUAUUAUGUUACGUUGUUUAAAUAUUUGAUCAUUUAUAUUGUGUUACAUUGAAAUACAUUGACAACAGACAGGUAAAAAAGAUAGAGCCGACAAUUUUGACCAGAUUAUUAUAAUGGGUUGACCAUGUAAUGUUCUAUCUCCGACAAAUAAAAAGGAUUACAUUGAAAACUUGCCUCCAAUCAUGCUUUCAGGCAUAAUAUACAUAUAAACAUUUAAUCAACAAAAUUACGAUUUUUGGGUUUUGAUCGUGAUGUAUUUAUUUUUUAUUAUUUUUUUCCUUAAUGAUAUGCCUCAGUUUUGCUAACCCGUUUGUUAUUAACAAUGUUGCCAAGACCCAUGGUCCACAUAGUCCGCACUUCUCUUUGAUAUGCCUCAGUAUUGCUACCCGUUUUAUACAUUUCAAAAAUCAUAAUUUAAUAGGUUGAAACACGAGUCAAAAGGUCACCAAUGUAUGUGUUUUUACAUAGUAUUUAAUUUGAACAUAAGUAAUUGGUUUUGGUUGAAGCCGCGUUUAACGCGGGCAUUAGCCUAGUAGAAAUAAUAAGUUAAAAUCAAUAGAAAUACUUCAUUUAAUAUUUGUAUUUAAUAUUAUUGUAAGGGUAUAUAGAUAAAUUUACAAAUUUAAUUAAUUUAUUGUAGAGUGUUGACCCUUAAAUUAGCUAAGUAAAUUAAACUAAUAAUAACUCAUUUUAAAAUAUACAUUUUUAAAACUAACCUAAAUUGUGGUGAAAGAUAAAUUCCGAUAUCUGUAGGAUGUGUACAUGGCAUAUGUGGAUAAUUUCCAAUGUGUGAGAUAAAUUUCGGUAUGUGUAGGAUAAAUUGUUUAUGACUAAUUGAUUAUAAAUUAUUUAGUGUUUUACUAUUAUGCUCUUUGUUCUUUUUCUUCUCAAAAGAUCCUUCAUUAUACCAAUCUUUAUCUCGAUGUAAGCAUGUUUUAAUACUUUUCAAAUCGGUUCGGUUAAGGCUUAAUUAUGUAAGUUCCUUAACCAUAGCCGAUUAAUCAGUUGUUCAAAUAACCUUACCCAUAACUGUCAAUAUCGGUUAAUUCGGGUUAUCGCCUUAUCGGUUAACUUUCGGUUAACGUUUGCUCACCCUUAUUGAUAGCUAUAGAUCGUGUUUUCUGUAACCGUAGAUGUUCAAUGUUAAAAAACAAAUGAACCAUGUUAAUCUUAACGAUAAUUUGGAGUUGUUUUGACAGCUGGUGAUUGUGUGUUACUGAGGCCUGCUGAUUCAGAUAACCCUCCGUACGUCGCUCGAGUGGAGAAGCUGGAGGCGGAUCAUCAGAAUUAUGUGAAGGUUAAAGUGCGGUGGUAUUACUGGCCGGAGGAAUCGUUGGGAGGCAGGCGGUCGUUUCAUGGUUUUAAGUUACUUAAAAUCUACUCGUGUUUAUGUGAUAAAAACGUUCUUGUCAUUAGGGGUGAGCAGAAAACCGAAAUAACCGAACUGUAACCAAAAUAACCGAAAAAAACAAACCGAAACAAAAACCAACGGUUCGUUUUCGGAUUCUUAAUAACCGAAAAUUUCGGUUCGGUUUUCGGAUAACCAUUUUCAGUAACCGAAAAAACCGAACCGAUAAGUUACAAUACAUAUAUUUUUAUGUUUAAGUUUAAGUUGUUUAAGUGUUUAA